Molecule: ribosomal RNA, 1408 nt
Filed under: Staphylococcus aureus
Lineage: Bacteria; Bacillati; Bacillota; Bacilli; Caryophanales; Staphylococcaceae
Description: partial 23S ribosomal RNA
Rfam family: Bacterial large subunit ribosomal RNA
Source: RNAcentral
GAUUGGAUUGCACGUCUAAGCAGUAAGGCUGAGUAUUAGGCAAAUCCGGUACUCAUUAAGGCUGAGCUGUGAUGGGGAGAAGACAUUGUGUCUUCGAGUCGUUGAUUUCACACUGCCGAGAAAAGCCUCUAGAUAGAAAAUAGGUGCCCGUACCGCAAACCGACACAGGUAGUCAAGAUGAGAAUUCUAAGGUGAGCGAGCGAACUCUCGUUAAGGAACUCGGCAAAAUGACCCCGUAACUUCGGGAGAAGGGGUGCUCUUUAGGGUUAACGCCCAGAAGAGCCGCAGUGAAUAGGCCCAAGCGACUGUUUAUCAAAAACACAGGUCUCUGCUAAACCGUAAGGUGAUGUAUAGGGGCUGACGCCUGCCCGGUGCUGGAAGGUUAAGAGGAGUGGUUAGCUUCUGCGAAGCUACGAAUCGAAGCCCCAGUAAACGGCGGCCGUAACUAUAACGGUCCUAAGGUAGCGAAAUUCCUUGUCGGGUAAGUUCCGACCCGCACGAAAGGCGUAACGAUUUGGGCACUGUCUCAACGAGAGACUCGGUGAAAUCAUAGUACCUGUGAAGAUGCAGGUUACCCGCGACAGGACGGAAAGACCCCGUGGAGCUUUACUGUAGCCUGAUAUUGAAAUUCGGCACAGCUUGUACAGGAUAGGUAGGAGCCUUUGAAACGUGAGCGCUAGCUUACGUGGAGGCGCUGGUGGGAUACUACCCUAGCUGUGUUGGCUUUCUAACCCGCACCACUUAUCGUGGUGGGAGACAGUGUCAGGCGGGCAGUUUGACUGGGGCGGUCGCCUCCUAAAAGGUAACGGAGGCGCUCAAAGGUUCCCUCAGAAUGGUUGGAAAUCAUUCAUAGAGUGUAAAGGCAUAAGGGAGCUUGACUGCGAGACCUACAAGUCGAGCAGGGUCGAAAGACGGACUUAGUGAUCCGGUGGUUCCGCAUGGAAGGGCCAUCGCUCAACGGAUAAAAGCUACCCCGGGGAUAACAGGCUUAUCUCCCCCAAGAGUUCACAUCGACGGGGAGGUUUGGCACCUCGAUGUCGGCUCAUCGCAUCCUGGGGCUGUAGUCGGUCCCAAGGGUUGGGCUGUUCGCCCAUUAAAGCGGUACGCGAGCUGGGUUCAGAACGUCGUGAGACAGUUCGGUCCCUAUCCGUCGUGGGCGUAGGAAAUUUGAGAGGAGCUGUCCUUAGUACGAGAGGACCGGGAUGGACAUACCUCUGGUGUACCAGUUGUCGUGCCAACGGCAUAGCUGGGUAGCUAUGUGUGGACGGGAUAAGUGCUGAAAGCAUCUAAGCAUGAAGCCCCCCUCAAGAUGAGAUUUCCCAACUUCGGUUAUAAGAUCCCUCAAAGAUGAUGAGGUUAAUAGGUUCGAGGUGGAAGCAUGGUGACAUGUGGAGCUGACGAAUACUAA